Eriocheir sinensis (Chinese mitten crab) is the source of this 7837-nucleotide long non-coding RNA. RefSeq lists it as uncharacterized. The transcript has 4 exons. The record is from RefSeq and is a predicted model, not a curated record. Lineage: Eukaryota; Metazoa; Arthropoda; Malacostraca; Decapoda; Varunidae.
GUCGUGGUCACUGUGACAUCAAGAUCAAACUCCAGCCCAACCCAACUGACGCCCGCUGCCCCGCUGUCCCCAGGGUGUGUUUUGGGUGACUGUGCUGGCCAGGCGCCUUGUUCACCCGUGCCAUCAGGAUCACCUGCUGCCCCUGGGGGAAGAGUGGAAUGGAAGGGUGGUUGUACAGCUGCCUCAUAGCAUCCACAGGGGCUAAGAACAGAGAUCCCCGCACAUUGAUGAAAUCCAUAAAUUUCAAAAAUGCCAUAUACUCAUCAUGCUGAGCAAGUCCAUUACACCGGAAGCCAAACCAAGAGUGUGGCUGUGCCGCGAGGCAAGUAGUGGUCAGCGGCUGCAUCCCCCCCAGCCGUCUGUGUGUUGGCUUGGUGUGUCUUGAGCAUUUUGAGGUCCCCUCCUGGUAAUCCAGAAAACUUGAUUGUCCAGACUCCAGAGGGUCCAUGAUCCCCUGCAUUUGAGAUUAAAGGAUUUUUACUUUUCUAAUACAAAUUACAUUCAGUAAAAGUCCUUUAAUCCAGAAUGCUAGGGGUCAUGGACCCUCUGGAUUGUCCAGAUUAUAUGGAGGCAACCUUAAAAUGUUCAAAACUUACCGUGCCAACACACAGACACAGUCGAUGGACCUUAAUACUCAGCAGGAUGCUGAUGUUGACACUGCCUGCCCUGCCCCAGAGCCCCGCCCUCACUGCAGGACACCAAGAAGGUGCACAUACAUGUGUACACACAUACACAUAGUUGACAUAACCCAGACAUAAUGCCUUACAAUUCUUUACAAUUACUUUUACAAUGAGGUGGCAAAGGCGAGGUAGUGACGGUGAACCAUUGCAGGCGGCAGCUGUCCACUUGGGAGCUCUGCCUUGUACAACUGCCCAAAGUACUCGCUCAGCCCAGUGAGCUUGGUACCCUUCUGCAUCUGAUCUGAACUCGAUACCCUUCUGCAUCUGAUACUAUCUGCCCAUCAGCGGUUCAGAUAGUACUCAUCUCAGCUCGGAAGGUAGGCAUUUAGACAACCCUCAGCAUCCUCACCAGGACCUCUGACAUAUCUCUCAUUAUCCCUCAGAAGGGUUCUAGUCUUUUAUGACAGAGUCCUGUAUUGAUCAAAGUCCCCAGCCAGCCUGGCAGCACUACACUCCUCUAUAUUAAUACUCCAUUGUCUCCCUCGAGACAACUUCACUCCUAGGUCUUGGGUGCUCCUUAAUGCACUCCUCAGCAGCUUUAAGAGUUUCACAUUUAAAGGUAUCCCACAACUCCCCAGGGUCCUCCAGAGUACCAAGCAUCUCAAACUGAUUUGAAACUGCCACUGCAUUCCUGAGCACACAACUGGUCCCUCAAUUUCUCAAGAUGGAACCCCGGAGGGUUGUAUCUUGAGGUUUUCUUGUACCUGAUGCAUAUCCUCAGUUUUGCAACAAGCAUGAGGUUGGUUGCAUGGAACUCACCUCUGGGAAACCGUACAGUUCUGGAGGAUCCUCAACAAGUACCAUAGUCGGUGUCACAUUACCUGGCAUGGAACUUUUUAAGGAGGGACUUGUGGACUUGGCAUCAUUGCUUGGGUGGUGGUCUCACACACUCAUCGGCCUAUUCUCAACUCGUUUUAGUGUGCAGCAAAUGGACUCAUAUUCCUACCAAAACACUUUUUUGGAUCAUAAGGUACCAAAUUAUACUGAUAAGAAUUAAUUCAACAUCAGCUUUAUUGUAAGAUGUGUGUCUCAAACUAUUAAGGAUACAUCUGAAUGACACUUGUAGUAAACUAAAUCAGAACUGCACGUACACAGACAGCAUCAGCGACAGAAGCAGCAACUUUAAAAUUUGGGAGGCCUGUAAAGGCUGGAUUUUUUCCCUACUUCCAUUACUACUACGAAGUGCCAGUCAACAAUGCCCUUCAUUAACUCAUCUAUUGUAAGAUUUCUUGUUAUUAUUUUAGUCCAAGCUUUGUUGUAGUGUGUAGUGAUGCUAUGUAGUCAUAUAUAAACAUUGCCUUAAGACAAAUACCUUCUCUUCUCUCUCAUCCUGAGAUGUAUUUCCAUUAUUUCUAGGUAACUAAUGGCCAUAAGGAACAGCAAACAAAGAAUAAUUACAUUUAAAUACCAUCAGUGGUGAUCGAGAGAGGUACCAAAGGAUGUGAGACAGUAGGCUAUGUUAACUAAAAUAGAAUUGGCUGCACAUUAAAACAAGUUAAGAAUAGUCCAAUGAGUGGCACAGAGACUAUCACCAAAGUAAUGAUGCAAUGACCGCAAGUCCCUCCCGAAAAGGUUUUCUGCACCAGGUUAUGUGACACCAACUAUAAGAGAUAUGAAGCACAAGGUGUGCUUCAACUUCUCCAGCAUCAUAUGCUCAUCACCUGGAGUAAUCCCAACAACAGGGGACUGCAAGAGGCUCGGAAUGUUACAGCCACCAACACGGAGGGCUCCCUGGAGGAUAACUCCAGGCCUGGCUUGACAGGCUUGUACCACAUAUGCACCACCCUGGCAGUCCUCAAGAAAAGGGAGAGGGAGUGGUUGGCAGAUCAGUGGUGGUUCCUGGUUCUGAAGACGUGACCUUCACCGCUGGACUUGGUAUAGCAAUGCUGGCAGUGUGGUAAAGAAGAUUGGUCACAUCCUUGUUAGUACUGAUUGGGGAAUCCUCCAGAACUAGGGUUUUCCGGAGUGCCGAGUUCUUUGCAACUGUCUACAGCCUUUUUGUUGUAAUGCAUUAGGUCCAAGAAAGUUUCCAGAUGCAACCCUCUGGGAUUCCAUCUUGAGAAACUGAGAGACCAAAUGUGUGCCCAGGAGUAUGCAGUGGCAGUCUCAAAUCAGUUUGAGGUGCUUGUUGCUUUGGAGGACCCUGGAGAGUUGUGAGAUAUCUUCAAACAUGAAACUCUCAAAGCUGCAGAGGAGUGCAUUAGAGAGCGCCCAAGAUGUAGGAGUGGAGUUGUCUUGAGGGAGACACAGGAGAAUGUAGAGGAGAGUCGUGCUGCCAGGCUGUCUGGGGACUCAGGGUGAUACAGGACUUUGUCACAAAGGACUAGAACCCUUCCAAGGAAGAAUAAGGAGAGGUAUGCCAGAGGCUUCACUGAGGAAGUUAUUGGUUGUCUAAAUGCAAAUGACCUUAGGCUUGCCCUCCAAACUCCAAAUACACAUCUCAGAUUAGUAGUAUCCGAACGGCUGAUGGGCAGAUAGUAUCAGAUGUGGAUGGGUACCCGGCUUGUUGGGCCGAGUACUUUGGGCAGUUGCACACGAUAGAGACUCAAAGUAGACAGCUUCCUCUGGUUGGUUUACACAUGGCAGCUGCUGAUGCACUGAUAGAUGAAACUCCAGCCUCUCUUGCUGAGGUGAGAGAGGUGGUGUGGAAGUUGAAGGCUAGAAAGGCAGCUGAGGUCUGUAAUAUCAGUGCAGAGGUGUUGAAAGCUGGGGGUUAAGCCAUGAUCCAUGGGUUGCAUCAUGCAGUGCUGUCCACCAUGUGGCAGUCUGGUACCAUUCCUCCUGACUGGAAUGUGGGAGUGGGUUGUCCCUAUCUGGAAAAGGAAAGGGAACAGACAGGACUACAACAUUUACAGUGGUAUUACAGUGCUGGGCAAAAUGUUCACUCAUCUGCUACUUAUAUUAAUUAAAUCUCAUCUGCUACUUAUGUUAAUUAAAUCUCAUCUGCUAAAGUUUCAGAGACCUGAGCAGUUCGGCUUCAAGCCCAGCAGGUCAACAAUCGCCUGGAUCCUAGUACUUCGUGUCCUUGUGGAAUGUCAACUCGAGUUCGGACAGGGGUUACUCACAGCCUAUGUCAAUCUCAUGAAGGCUUUGGACUCAGGGCAUUGUGAGGCACUCUUGGACAUUUUGCAGAGCUAUGGAAUUUUUACAAGGAUUGUUGACCUGAUGGCUGGCCUUUACUCUGUAAUGAGAGUGCUAUGAAGUGUGGGGGAAGGCAUAUCUGGAUUCUUCCCUCUUAAUUUUUGAUAGAAAUCAAAGUAUUCUCAUUUGUAUUCGAAUACAAAGGAAAAGUAUUCAUAUUUUGCUAAUAAUCUGACGAAUACUUCAAAAUUUAUUACAAGAAAUAAUAGCCGUUGUUCCUUACAACUCUAGCCUCCUGGGCAGACGUGUGAUCAUCAUAUACAGUGCAGGUUCAUGAGCACAUUUUACUGUUGCAUAACUUUAGAACAGUUUUAUAUCCAGGUACCCUUAAAUCGACGCAGGGCCAGUGUAACAUGCUGGUCACCACAGUUUACCUUUUCCAGGCUUCCCCAGGCACUCAUUUAUCAACCCUCCUGAAGGGAAGGAGGAGCAGGUGGGUGGGCUGCAUGCCACAAGCCAGGAUUGGAACCCAGGCUCGUAGAUUUGUAGUCAGGGAUGUUAACCACUGCACCUUGGAGGUGUGCAUGCAUAAAUCAGUCUAAAAUAUCAUGAGUAGCAUUGUUCAUCAGCUAUAUGUACUAUAAACUGUACUGAAAUUUAUAUAAACUUAUUACAUAUUCGUAGUCAUUGAAAUCUCAUUUAACUGUUGGGUCCUCACUACGAAGUCUCUGCCAUUUUCUUUUUCAAAUUUAGGUGCUUAAAAUAUCAUACCAUGCAAAUUAUAUACUACUGACUGCUUCUUUCUAUAGAAAUCAGGUGAUAAAGAUGUGAAAUGGGUAUAGACACUAGAUCAUAACUGCAAGCAGCUGAUCAGCUGGUAAACAAACAGGUCCUGUCGGUGGUAGGACUGGACAGCAAUAUUAACAGUACUGCUCAGUACUUGUAGCAGUGGGUACCACCAGUGCAGUAUUCAGUAUUUUUAUACUGACAGGUCAUCAUUCGCUUAUAUGUAGGCAUGUGAUGACCUAUUAAUGCUCACCAGUAUUGGUACUGGGCAGUCUGGUUCCAUUACCAUGUUAUAUAGCAGGUACAGUUUCACUAUUUGCAGGGGUCCAUGUCCCUUAACCCCUGUGAAUAAGGGGGGACAGGUGUGUAUGGUUUUGUUGAUGUCUAUGGAAAGAUCAGAAUCUUCAAGUCACUUGUGCUUUCUGUUUUACUCAUGUCGCUGAAAUAUGGACACCAAAUAGUGACUUGGAGAGGCUUGUCAUUGCCUUUGGUAUCAAGUGCCUUCACAGGAUCAUCAGGUAUUGCUGGAAUGACUUCUUUUCAAACCAGCAACUACUUGAUUAAACCGAAUCAAUGCCUGUUACCAGCUUAUUCUUUGAAUGCCAACUCCUACUAUAUGGGCACAAGGCACUCUUCCUGGACAUUGGUCCUGCUCGCAGGGUCGUUUCUCUAUGAAACAACUCUGAGCGGAGGAGACCAAGGGGGCAGCCACUUAAUGCAUGGCUGGGGUAUGUUGAUUGAUCCUGCCAAGAGGGACUUGAAAUGGAAGGGUAGCUUCAUGGAGGCUUGGUUGGGAAAACUGUCAGGAGUGGAAUUGGUGGGUGAGUGAGGCAAUGUGCUGCCUGACGCAUGUUCCCCAUUAGUCAGUUUGUUACUCCCAUCCUCGAAACUGGUCUCUGUGCACAAGUUUUUACUCUAUUCUCUGAAGCUCAUCUAUGUUGUGUAAUACUGACUUUAAUUCUUCAUUACUGGAUAGUGGAUUGAUCAUGGAUUGGGAUUGUAUUGAAAAGUACAAAUUGCCAAGAAACUGCAUUAAUUUUAAGAUGAAGACAUAUAAGCUAUGUUCUCAUUAUUUUUUCAUUCAUUCUGAUUUUUCCUAGAAUCAUUUAGCUACUCUAAUGUGUAUGUUGAAAUGUGAUGGAGAAAUCUCUCCUAAAAUACGAUGAUGUUGUUAGAUUUCAUAAAAUAUAAAUAUGGAGGGAGCAUCCAUCAUAUAGCAGUGCCUUCACACCAUAGGCAUAUGCAGGCAUGAUGCAGUGGUUAGCAGGCUGAGCUCAGAAGCAAAAGGUCCUGUGUUUGAUUCCUGGAUGGAGUGAGAGGGACAGGCAAUCUCCUUAGCCCUGUACCCACGUUAAUUCAGCAGUGAAUGGAUGCCGGGUGUCAGCCAGGGGUUGUGUCCUGCCUCCCAAGGGUGGUGGUCUGCCACUGCUGAAGAGAUGACCUGGGUGGUGCAGAUGUGGGGCGUGUAUCACUUGCCCACAGUACAAGGCCUGGGAUUAAUCUUCAGAAGGCUCUGUGAAUGGUCUCCUGAAAUGCCGUGAGCCUUUCGCAGGAUCACCAACGGCGUUACCAAGCUAAUGAACUCAGAAAACCGAGAGUGGAUAUAGUGUGACUUAAGAAAAGGAGGCCUGGGAAUGGUAAGAUCAGAAGUACCUACUACUGGUCCAGCACAACGUUGCCAGGUUGUCGUACUCUGCCUCUUAUGUUUGCCGAUUUCCGACCCCAAAACUGCUUUCAUCACCCAAAUAACUGCUUUCAUAUAUGGUUAUCGUUUAAAUGGUUAAUUAUUGGUGCUUCUUGGCAACAUUUAUGGCCCAGAAACGGUAAAUACACGGCUCUGAGUACGAUAAUCUGGCAAUGGUGGUCCAGCAUGGGCAAUAGUACCAGUCUUACAGGGGUAGCUAUAGACAUCUCUAGCCAACGACAACCAUUUUUUGUGGUUGAGGUUUUUCCCACAGGUAAGGUAAAGGUAAAGUUGGGGGCAUACACUGUAGCAGAGUGUGGCCUCAGUGCUCAUCUCUGUAACAUUGGCCCUUGAGCAUGUGGUGGGAGGGAGCCCAUUACCCCGGGACACAGGGCCAGUGUGACAUCCGGGUUACCACAGUUUACCUUCCCCAGGUUUCCCCAGGUACCCAUUUAUUGACCAGCCCAAGAGGGAGGAUAAACAGCUGGGUGAGCUGCACGCCGACUGCCCGGGCCGGGAUUCGAACCCGGGCCCAUGGAGUAGAAGCCAGGCACGCUAACCACUAGGCCACGGAGGUGUAUUCCCACAGGAAUACAUGUAAAUAGAGAAGUUUGGUUCCUUACUUCCACCUUGACCCAGGAAAAAUUUAAUAAUAAUUUAAAAAUAUGAUCUUAUAUUUUACACCUCACUAAGAGUUGUAAAAUUAGCAUGGCAGAGUGUGCAUGUGAAGUUUACCAUCUGCUUGAUUGGCUACAAGCAAUACCAGUCACCAGGCAGGGGAAAGCAUGUCUGUCUGCAGUUUGUAAUAUUACUGUAGUAUUUUUAUUGAAAUAAAUUUACACAACUCACCUAAUUGCUGUUUUGUCUUAAUUCCAUGCCAGAAUAUUUCCCAUCUUAGUUACCAUUGAGUCUCAUGUAAAGUGCUUGGGCUCAUGCUAAUAGAGGUUGGAUGCUUCAUUUCCUGCUACAAAAUCAUUGACACACAUUGACACAUAUGCCUCAGAAUCUAUAAAUUUUGCUCUUGUGGUGUGGCCAAUAUUCCAUGCCUGUGAUUAACUUUUAUUUAGCAGUUGAGGUCUUGGUUUUUGAGCCAUGGCAGUAAUGGUUCUCAUAAUCAACUCAGCAGGACACAGAGUAGGUGUGGAGCAGAACCUUUCCCUCUACUAGCUACCAGCAUCACCAACUGGCAGGCAGGCAUCCAUUUUGAAAAUUAUAUUUUGCACAAAAAUUGAAAACUAAUUUUGAAAAGACAUGGAUUGCAUGUCAAACAAUGAAAAAGGGUAGGUGUUUUUAAAUGUCAUAAGAGUGGAAUCCUGAAUAAUGGGCAAUGCAGGGAAGAGCCUAAAUGGUCUUAUGACGACAGCUGAGUUCAACAGUUUACCUCAGAGCCUCCAACACUGUAGGGACUCGUACGCACACAUCGUGGAAAAGCAUAUCAGUAUCUGAGCCUGGGGAAAGUGACUACUAUAUCUUAAUGGAAAUAGACAAAUGUCCUGAUAGAAGAAUGGAACAAAUUAUAUAGAAAUAAGGUACCUAAUUAUACCUUGAUUUUUUUAUUUACAUAAACUUUAUGAAAAGAAAACAGGUGUUCAGAUUUUUUUUUUUU